AGUGAACGCUGGCGGCAGGCCUAACACAUGCAAGUCGAACGGCAGCACAGUAAGAGCUUGCUCUUACGGGUGGCGAGUGGCGGACGGGGGAGGAAAAUAUCGGAAGCUACUUUUUCGUGGGGGAUAACGCAGGGAAACUUACGCCAAUACCGCAUACGACGUACGGGUGAAAGCAGGGGAUCUUCGGACCUUGCGCGAUUGUAGGAGCCGAUGUCGGAUUAGCUAGUUGGCGGGGUAAAGGCCCACCAAGGCGACGAUCCGUAGCUGGUCUGAGAGGAUGAUCAGCCACACUGGAACUGAGACACGGUCCAGACUCCUACGGGAGGCAGCAGUGGGGAAUAUUGGACAAUGGGCGCAAGCCUGAUCCAGCCAUACCGCGUGUGUGAAGAAGGCCUUCGGGUUGUAAAGCCCUUUUGUUGGGAAAGAAAAGCAGCAGGUUAAUACCCCGCUGUUCUGACGGUACCCACAGAAUAAGCACCGGCUAACUUCGUG
Molecule: ribosomal RNA, 492 nt
Filed under: uncultured bacterium
Lineage: Bacteria
Description: partial 16S ribosomal RNA
Rfam family: Bacterial small subunit ribosomal RNA
Source: RNAcentral